GACGAACGCUGGCGGCGUGCUUAACACAUGCAAGUCGAACGGAAAGGCCCUGCUUUUGUGGGGUGCUCGAGUGGCGAACGGGUGAGUAACACGUGAGUAACCUGCCCUUGACUUUGGGAUAACUUCAGGAAACUGGGGCUAAUACCGGAUAGGAGCUCCUGCUGCAUGGUGGGGGUUGGAAAGUUUCGGCGGUUGGGGAUGGACUCGCGGCUUAUCAGCUUGUUGGUGGGGUAGUGGCUUACCAAGGCUUUGACGGGUAGCCGGCCUGAGAGGGUGACCGGCCACAAUGGGACUGAGAGAGGGACCAGAGUGCUACAGGAGGCAGCAGGGGGGAAUAUUGCACAAUGGGAGGAAGCCUGAGGAAGAAACGCCGCGUGCGGGAUGACGGCCUUCGGGUUGUAAACCGCUUUCGCCUGUGACGAAGCGGGAGUGACGGUAAUGGGUAAAGAAGCACCGGCUAACUACGUG
RNAcentral lists this ribosomal RNA (468 nucleotides) under uncultured bacterium. Its description in RNAcentral is "partial 16S ribosomal RNA". It matches the Rfam family "Bacterial small subunit ribosomal RNA", at positions 28 to 507 of the family's 1533-position model. The record is from RNAcentral.